This 481-nucleotide ribosomal RNA is filed under the name Salmonella enterica subsp. enterica serovar Enteritidis. Its description in RNAcentral is "partial 23S ribosomal RNA". It matches the Rfam family "Bacterial large subunit ribosomal RNA", at positions 123 to 645 of the family's 2925-position model. Lineage: Bacteria; Pseudomonadati; Pseudomonadota; Gammaproteobacteria; Enterobacterales; Enterobacteriaceae. The record is from RNAcentral.
GAAACCCAGUGUGACUCGUCACACUAUCAUUAACUGAAUCCAUAGGUUAAUGAGGCGAACCGGGGGAACUGAAACAUCUAAGUACCCCGAGGAAAAGAAAUCAACCGAGAUUCCCCCAGUAGCGGCGAGCGAACGGGGAGGAGCCCAGAGCCUGAAUCAGCAUGUGUGUUAGUGGAAGCGUCUGGAAAGGCGCGCGAUACAGGGUGACAGCCCCGUACACAAAAGCGCAUGUGCUGUGAGCUCGAUGAGUAGGGCGGGACACGUGGUAUCCUGUCUGAAUAUGGGGGGACCAUCCUCCAAGGCUAAAUACUCCUGACUGACCGAUAGUGAACCAGUACCGUGAGGGAAAGGCGAAAAGAACCCCGGCGAGGGGAGUGAAAAAGAACCUGAAACCGUGUACGUACAAGCAGUGGGAGCACCCUUUGGGUGUGACUGCGUACCUUUUGUAUAAUGGGUCAGCGACUUAUAUUCUGUAGCAAGG